ACAAAGGCAAAAUUAGUAAAUGUAACCAGCACCAAAACGAAAAAGAAAAAUCUAGUAGAUCUUUGUAUUUUUGUGAUUUGUUAACACUGAUGAUUCCUGUUUGUUCUUAAUUGUCAAAUAAAAUCAUGAUACACAAAGUGCACUAUUGAACAAUGAAGUCGUCUCUGAGAAUAAGGUUGUUGGUCGACAGGAGCUGGUGGUUCACUGACGUUGGGGAUGGAGAAAGUGAGAACCAUAGAUAGCUACACUUUUUCUUAGAAUAUUAUCUUCCAUUAUAAAGUAAAAAAAAUGUUGGCUUCGCUUUUUGUAGUAGUUAGUACUCUUCUGGUGUGGGACUAGCUAGCUAACAUGUAACAGCUCAGAUUAAUUUACGUUUAGCUUUUACAAAAAAUAGCAACUCAGACGCUGUCCAUGAUAAGUUUCUAGUCAAAAGGAAAAGUUCCUUAACACAAAUUUCAAGCUAUGAAUUGAUAGAGUUGAUCUCAUAUGAGACAACCCCUCCAAAAAUAGGCGUAUGCCGCUUGGUACGACAAGCACACGGUAUUCUUUAGUAAAAGGCGAAAGAAUAGUUCGCUAUGUGCUUAUCGCACGGCUCCGUGACCACUGACAAUAGGCUCGCUCCAUAUUAUAUAUGUCUAUCUCUCAGUGCCUUGCUCCGUAUAUUUACGAUGUGGGACUAAAACCUAUGCAAAAAAUAUAUGGCCUCUCCUUUCUUCAUUUACGCAUGUCAUUAAACCCAAUUGAAUAACUAUGUCCCUUUAUAUAACUUUCCCGGUUUCCCCUUCUCAUAGUUGUGUGGUGUCACUUAGAACUAAAUUUAGAAUAAUAAGACUAGGGACGAUACAGACACUGUGUAAAAAUCCGAAAACUUUGCUAGUACAUAGGUUUCCGUCGUACUUUCAGAGAAGUACACUGUUGAUAUUCUUUUUCUUUCUUUAAUCAAUUUUGCAGUACACAAAGUCUCUGUCGUUUUAUUUGUACUACACAAAACGUUAAUGAUUGUAACUAAACUUGUGUACUACACACUCCUUUCGUAAUGUGUGUAUAUAACAAGUUCACAUAAGUUACGAAGAACAUUAUUGCUGGUUUAAAAGAGAGAAAAAUAUCUUCGAGGGUAGAGGACCUCGACAGGGUGGACAUGAGAACACAUGUGUAUUCAAAGGCUGUAAUGACGCCACGUCACUGUAACGUACAUCUCUCUUUUCAUGUGUUCUCAGGUCACCCCUGCUGAGCUCUUUCUCUACCAUCCAUCUUUAUCAAUGCUCGGUGGCUUCACUCAUUCACCAAAUGGGACAAAUAAUUCUGGAGUACGUAGUUUCUAUCUGCAGUGUGGUUACAAGUUAAAUGGGACAAAGAAGAUGAAACUCACGUUACGCACCUACCUUAACUUCACAAGUCAUCAACACACCUUUACCAAAUCAUACCAUCCACAAAUCCCCCCACCCAAAAAAGAGAAACAAAAUGGCACAACAGAAUCACCGGUUUGGUUCACUUUCUCUUCCAUCCAAACUCUCCGAUUCCAACAACUAAACCUAACCUAGGCCAAACUAAAAGACUAAGCCCUGCAAGAACAAACAGAACACACUACUAAUUAACUCCAUUUUUCUUCAAAGGAAAAUCUUCGCGAAGCCAAUGAACCUAUCUAUCUAGAAUUGUUCACCAAUCACCACAGAAACAGCAAACAAUAUCUCUUGAUACCAUCCAUAUGAUAAACCGUUUCAAACUAAACUCUCAUAUGAUCCAUAUAAUUGAUUCUUAGCGAUGCCUCCGGUUUAAGAUACUUCUAGAUAGGAAAAAGAGCUCACCACUAAAGCUCCUCGUCAUCAACCAAAGCCAUCACAGGGAUUCCUUUAGUAGUAAAACUUGUACAUUUCACCUGCAACGCGUCUCCAAUCUCAAACUCUGUCUCUUCCUCUCCCUGUACUCAUUCAUACAUAAUACUAGUAAGCAAACAACACAAGACAAGUAUUAACCAUGUGGGAGAACAAAGUGAAAGAGGAUGAUGUUUUAAAACAUACCUCAAAUUUGUACAUCCCGCGGAUUCCACCACCUAAAUCAAGAACUAAUCCAUGCGUUCGAACCUGGUGGACUUUAGCUGUCAUCUCUGUUCCUAUCUUCAGUUUCCGAGCACUAACCGAGGCACUCUCUCCAGCCUCGUCCCCUGAUUGUUUCUUCUUCCUAGAAGGUUUCUUCAGUGUCUCACCAUAGUUAGCCAUAGUUUCUUCUGGACCAGUGGACUUGAAUACCUCCACUUCCUUCUGUGUCACAGUCUGCUUAGAGGCAGUGGAUUUGAGUUUCCGGUCAGGCUUCAUCGUAGCAGCGCGUUUAGGUUUAGCGUUCUUUUCCACAAGAGAAGACUUCUCUGCCUCAUCACACUCUACAGCGGUGCGGAUUACAACUGCAGGAACUGCUAAUUUAGAUUUCUGAGGCGGCUCUACGACACUGGGCAGACUUGCAACUGUCUCUCCAAGACUAGACGUUUCUACAGAGACUGUGUCUUUCACCACAGGGACUUUUUCAGGACCAGAUGCUGGUUUCGGUUCAGGUUUGGGUAACAGCGCCUUGAGAGAUAACUUAAUGUUACCGCGGACAUCGGUGUCAAUGCACAUCAUAGUGAUGUACUUGCCAAUAUGUAAUACAUCUGAAACCUUCGAGACCUGAUAAAAUUGUAAUAAGACAGUAGUAAGUUAAACGGAAAAUAAGCGACCACAGUUUAUCAUUAUCA
This is a long non-coding RNA of Brassica napus (rape), 2725 nucleotides long. RefSeq lists it as uncharacterized. The record is from RefSeq and is a predicted model, not a curated record. The transcript has 2 exons. NCBI's taxonomy places the organism in Eukaryota, Viridiplantae, Streptophyta, Magnoliopsida, Brassicales, Brassicaceae.